GUUACAGUGGCCGAGUGGUUAAGGCGACACCCUGCUAUAAGCGGUUUAGGUGUUGGGAUUUUCCUUCGCAGGUUCGAAUCCUGUCUGUGACG
This 92-nucleotide transfer RNA is filed under the name Scheffersomyces stipitis CBS 6054. It matches the Rfam family "tRNA". Rfam says of the family: Transfer RNA (tRNA) molecules are approximately 80 nucleotides in length. Their secondary structure includes four short double-helical elements and three loops (D, anti-codon, and T loops). Further hydrogen bonds mediate the characteristic L-shaped molecular structure. tRNAs have two regions of fundamental functional importance: the anti-codon, which is responsible for specific mRNA codon recognition, and the 3' end, to which the tRNAs corresponding amino acid is attached (by aminoacyl-tRNA synthetases). tRNAs cope with the degeneracy of the genetic code in two manners: having more than one tRNA (with a specific anti-codon) for a particular amino acid; and 'wobble' base-pairing, i.e. permitting non-standard base-pairing at the 3rd anti-codon position. The record is from Rfam by way of RNAcentral. Lineage: Eukaryota; Fungi; Ascomycota; Pichiomycetes; Serinales; Debaryomycetaceae.